This 156-nucleotide ribosomal RNA is filed under the name Gigaspora albida. Its description in RNAcentral is "5.8S rRNA". It matches the Rfam family "5.8S ribosomal RNA". From Rfam's summary of the family: 5.8S ribosomal RNA (5.8S rRNA) is a component of the large subunit of the eukaryotic ribosome. The record is from RNAcentral. Lineage: Eukaryota; Fungi; Glomeromycota; Glomeromycetes; Diversisporales; Gigasporaceae.
AACUUUCAACAAUGGAUCUCUUGGCUCUCGCAUCGAUGAAGAACGCAGCAAAAUGCGAUAAGUAAUAUGAAUUGCAGAAUUCCGUGAAUCAUCAAAUUUUUGAACGCAAAUUGCACUUCUUGGUAUUCCAAGGAGUACACAUGCUUGAGGGUCAGU